Molecule: ribosomal RNA, 492 nt
Filed under: uncultured bacterium
Lineage: Bacteria
Description: partial 16S ribosomal RNA
Rfam family: Bacterial small subunit ribosomal RNA
Source: RNAcentral
AGUGAACGCUGGCGGUAGGCCUAACACAUGCAAGUCGAACGGCAGCACAGUAAGAGCUUGCUCUUACGGGUGGCGAGUGGCGGACGGGUGAGGAAUACAUCGGAAUCUACUUUUUCGUGGGGGAUAACGUAGGGAAACUUACGCUAAUACCGCAUACGACCUACGGGUGAAAGCAGGGGAUCUUCGGACCUUGCGCGAAUGAAUGAACCGAUGUCGGAUUAGCUAGUUGGCGGGGUAAAGGCCCACCAAGGCGACGAUCCGUAGCUGGUCUGAGAGGAUGAUCAGCCACACUGGAACUGAGACACGGUCCAGACUCCUACGGGAGGCAGCAGUGGGGAAUAUUGGACAAUGGGCGCAAGCCUGAUCCAGCCAUACCGCGUGGGUGAAGAAGGCCUUCGGGUUGUAAAGCCCUUUUGUUGGGAAAGAAAAGUAGCAGGUUAAUACCCCGCUGUUCUGACGGUACCCAAAGAAUAAGCACCGGCUAACUUCGUG